This 112-nucleotide ribosomal RNA is filed under the name Acanthosepion pharaonis. The record is from RNAcentral. Lineage: Eukaryota; Metazoa; Mollusca; Cephalopoda; Sepiida; Sepiidae.
UACAGUCAUAUCACGUUAAAACAUCGGUUCUCGUACGAUCAUCGAAGUAAAGCAACUUUGAGCUUGGUCCGUACUUAGAUGGGUGACCACCUGGGAAUACUAGAUGUUGUAC